UACAGAGGUCCCAAGCGUUGUUCGGAUUCACUGGGCGUAAAGGGUGCGUAGGUGGCAGGGUAAGUUUGAUGUGAAAUCUCCGAGCUUAACUCGGAAACUGCAUUGAAUACUAUCCUGCUCGAGGUUUGGAAGGGGGACUGGAAUUCUCGGUGUAGCAGUGAAAUGCGUAGAUAUCGAGAGGAACACCAGUGGCGAAGCGAGUCCCUGGACAACACCUGACACUGAGGCACGAAAGCUAGGGGAGCAAACAGG
This 252-nucleotide ribosomal RNA is filed under the name uncultured bacterium. RNAcentral describes it as "partial 16S ribosomal RNA". It matches the Rfam family "Bacterial small subunit ribosomal RNA", at positions 524 to 776 of the family's 1533-position model. The record is from RNAcentral.